GACAGAGGGUACAAACGUUGUUCGGAAUUACUGGGCGUAAAGCGCGUGUAGGCGGUUAUGCAAGUCGGAUGUGAAAGCCCGGAGCUCAACUCCGGAAGUGCAUUCGAUACUGCGUAGCUAGAGUACUGGAGAGGAUGGUGGAACUCUCGGUGUAGAGGUGAAAUUCGUAGAUAUCGAGAAGAACACCGGUGGCGAAGGCGGCCAUCUGGACAGAUACUGACGCUGAGACGCGAAAGCGUGGGGAGCAAACAGG
Molecule: ribosomal RNA, 253 nt
Filed under: uncultured bacterium
Lineage: Bacteria
Description: partial 16S ribosomal RNA
Rfam family: Bacterial small subunit ribosomal RNA
Source: RNAcentral